This 431-nucleotide ribosomal RNA is filed under the name uncultured bacterium. RNAcentral's name for it is "partial 16S ribosomal RNA". It matches the Rfam family "Bacterial small subunit ribosomal RNA", at positions 29 to 507 of the family's 1533-position model. The record is from RNAcentral.
AGCGAACGCUGGCGGCAGGCUUAACACAUGCAAGUCGAGCGCCCCGCAAGGGGAGCGGCAGACGGGAGAGUAACACGUGGGAACAUACCUUUUGGUUCGGAACAACUGAGGGAAACUUCAGCUAAUACCGGAUAAGCCCUUACGGGGAAAGAUUUAUCGCCGAAAGAUUGGCCCGCGUCUGAUUAGCUAGUUGGUGAGGUAACGGCUCACCAAGGCGACGAUCAGUAGCUGGUCUGAGUGGAUGAUCAGCCUCACUGGGACUGAGACACGGCCCAGACUCCUACGGGAGGCAGCAGUGGGGAAUAUUGGACAAUGGGGGCAACCCUGAUCCAGCCAUGCCGCGUGAGUGAUGAAGGCCUUAGGGUUGUAAAGCUCUUUUGCCCGGGAAGAUAAUGACGGUACCGGGAGAAUAAGCCCCGGCUAACUUCGUG